GACGAACGCUGGCGGCGUGCUUAACACAUGCAAGUCGAACGGAAAGGCCCUGCUUUUGUGGGGUGCUCGAGUGGCGAACGGGUGAGUAACACGUGAGUAACCUGCCCUUGACUUUGGGAUAACUUCAGGAAACUGGGGCUAAUACCGGAUAGGAGCUCCUGCUGCAUGGUGGGGGUUGGAAAGUUUCGGCGGUUGGGGAUGGACUCGCGGCUUAUCAGCUUGUUGGUGGGGUAGUGGCUUACCAAGGCUUUGACGGGUAGCCGGCCUGAGAGGGGUGACGGCGACAUGGGGACUGAGAGACGGCCCAGAAGCCUACGGGAGGCAGCAGUGGGGAAUAUUGCACAAUGGGCGGAAGCCUGAUGCAGCAACGCCGCGUGCGGGAUGACGGCCUUCGGGUUGUAAACCGCUUUCGCCUGUGACGAAGCGUGAGUGACGGUAAUGGGUAAAGAAGCACCGGCUAACUACGUG
Molecule: ribosomal RNA, 468 nt
Filed under: uncultured bacterium
Lineage: Bacteria
Description: partial 16S ribosomal RNA
Rfam family: Bacterial small subunit ribosomal RNA
Source: RNAcentral